This 101-nucleotide non-coding RNA is filed under the name Lutibacter profundi. Its description in RNAcentral is "SAM-I sequence". It matches the Rfam family "SAM riboswitch aptamer (S box leader)". From Rfam's summary of the family: The SAM riboswitch is found upstream of a number of genes which code for proteins involved in methionine or cysteine biosynthesis in Gram-positive bacteria. The SAM riboswitch acts at the level of transcription termination control. The record is from Rfam by way of RNAcentral. Lineage: Bacteria; Pseudomonadati; Bacteroidota; Flavobacteriia; Flavobacteriales; Flavobacteriaceae.
UUGUUAUCAAGAAAGGCAGAGGGAAUGGACCCUGUGAAGCCUUAGCAACCCUUUAUUUUAUAGAGAAGGUGCUAAAUUCUACCAAUAUGGAUAGAUAACCA